AUUGAACGCUGGCGGCAGGCCUAACACAUGCAAGUCGAGCGGAUGAAGGGAGCUUGCUCCUGGAUUCAGCGGCGGACGGGUGAGUAAUGCCUAGGAAUCUGCCUGGUAGUGGGGGAUAACGUCCGGAAACGGGCGCUAAUACCGCAUACGUCCUGAGGGAGAAAGUGGGGGAUCUUCGGACCUCACGCUAUCAGAUGAGCCUAGGUCGGAUUAGCUAGUUGGUGGGGUAAAGGCCUACCAAGGCGACGAUCCGUAACUGGUCUGAGAGGAUGAUCAGUCACACUGGAACUGAGACACGGUUCAGACUCCUACGGGAGGCAGCAGUGGGGAAUAUUGGACAAUGGGCGAAAGCCUGAUGCAGCCAUGCCGCGUGUGUGAAGAAGGUCUUCGGAUUGUAAAGCACUUUAAGUUGGGAGGAAGGGCAGUAAGUUAAUACCUUGCUGUUUUGACGUUACCUACAGAGUAAGCACCGGCUAACUUCGUG
RNAcentral lists this ribosomal RNA (484 nucleotides) under uncultured bacterium. Its description in RNAcentral is "partial 16S ribosomal RNA". It matches the Rfam family "Bacterial small subunit ribosomal RNA", at positions 30 to 507 of the family's 1533-position model. The record is from RNAcentral.